UACGUAGGGUGCGAGCGUUGUCCGGAAUUAUUGGGCGUAAAGAGCUCGUAGGCGGUGUGUCACGUCGGCCGUGAAAACCUGCAGCUUAACUGUGGGCGUGCGGUCGAUACGGGCAUCACUGGAGUUCGGCAGGGGAGACUGGAAUUCCUGGUGUAGCGGUGAAAUGCGUAGAUAUCAGGAGGAACACCGGUGGCGAAGGCGGGUCUCUGGACAGUUCCUGACGCUGAGGCACGAAGGUCAGGGGAGCAAACGGG
Molecule: ribosomal RNA, 254 nt
Filed under: uncultured bacterium
Lineage: Bacteria
Description: partial 16S ribosomal RNA
Rfam family: Bacterial small subunit ribosomal RNA
Source: RNAcentral